GACGAACGCUGGCGGCGUGCUUAACACAUGCAAGUCGAACGGAAAGGCCCUGCUUUUGUGGGGUGCUCGAGUGGCGAACGGGUGAGUAACACGUGAGUAACCUGCCCUUGACUUUGGGAUAACUUCAGGAAACUGGGGCUAAUACCGGAUAGGAGCUCCUGCUGCAUGGUGGGGGUUGGAAAGUUUCGGCGGUCGGGGAUGGACUCGCGGCUUAUCAGCUUGUUGGUGGGGUAGUGGCUUACCAAGGCUUUGACGGGUAGCCGGCCUGAGAGGGUGACCGGCCACAUUGGGACUGAGAUACAGCCCAGACUCCUACGGGAGGCAGCAGUGGGGAAUAUUGCACAAUGGGCGGAAGCCUGAUGCAGCAACGCCGCGUGCGGGAUGACGGCCUUCGGGUUGUAAACCGCUUUCGCCUGUGACGAAGCGUGAGUGACGGUAAUGGGUAAAGAAGCACCGGCUAACUACGUG
This 468-nucleotide ribosomal RNA is filed under the name uncultured bacterium. RNAcentral describes it as "partial 16S ribosomal RNA". It matches the Rfam family "Bacterial small subunit ribosomal RNA", at positions 28 to 507 of the family's 1533-position model. The record is from RNAcentral.